Molecule: ribosomal RNA, 1394 nt
Filed under: uncultured bacterium
Lineage: Bacteria
Description: bacterial SSU rRNA
Rfam family: Bacterial small subunit ribosomal RNA
Source: RNAcentral
AGAGUUUGAUCCUGGCUCAGGAUGAACGCUGGCGGCGUGCUUAACACAUGCAAGUCGAACGAAGCACUUUAACCUGAUUCUUCGGAUGAAGGUUUUUGUGACUGAGUGGCGGACGGGUGAGUAACGCGUGGGUAACCUGCCUCAUACAGGGGGAUAACAGUUAGAAAUGACUGCUAAUACCGCAUAAGACCACGGAGCCGCAUGGCUCAGUGGGAAAAACUCCGGUGGUAUGAGAUGGACCCGCGUCUGAUUAGGUAGUUGGUGGGGUAACGGCCUACCAAGCCAACGAUCAGUAGCCGACCUGAGAGGGUGACCGGCCACAUUGGGACUGAGACACGGCCCAAACUCCUACGGGAGGCAGCAGUGGGGAAUAUUGCACAAUGGGGGAAACCCUGAUGCAGCGACGCCGCAUGAGCGAAGAAGUAUUUCGGUAUGUAAAGCUCUAUCAGCAGGGAAGAAAAUGACGGUACCUGACUAAGAAGCACCGGCUAAAUACGUGCCAGCAGCCGCGGUAAUACGUAUGGUGCAAGCGUUAUCCGGAUUUACUGGGUGUAAAGGGAGCGUAGACGGCUGUGUAAGUCUGAAGUGAAAGCCCGGGGCUCAACCCCGGGACUGCUUUGGAAACUAUGCAGCUAGAGUGUCGGAGAGGUAAGUGGAAUUCCCAGUGUAGCGGUGAAAUGCGUAGAUAUUGGGAGGAACACCAGUGGCGAAGGCGGCUUACUGGACGAUGACUGACGUUGAGGCUCGAAAGCGUGGGGAGCAAACAGGAUUAGAUACCCUGGUAGUCCACGCCGUAAACGAUGACUAUUAGGUGUCGGGGGAGCAAAAGCUCUUCGGGGCCGCAGCAAACGCAAAUAAGUAGUCCACCUGGGGAGUACGUUCGCAAAGAAUGAAACUCAAAGGAAUUGACGGGGACCCGCACAAGCGGUGGAGCAUGUGGUUUAAUUCGAAGCAACGCGAAGAACCUUACCUGCUCUUGACAUCCCGGUGACCGGCAUGUAAUGAUGCCUUUUCUUCGGAACACCGGUGACAGGUGGUGCAUGGUUGUCGUCAGCUCGUGUCGUGAGAUGUUGGGUUAAGUCCCGCAACGAGCGCAACCCUUAUCUUCAGUAGCCAGCAAUUCGGAUGGGCACUCUGGAGAGACUGCCAGGGAUAACCUGGAGGAAGGUGGGGAUGACGUCAAAUCAUCAUGCCCCUUAUGAGCAGGGCUACACACGUGCUACAAUGGCGUAAACAAAGGGAAGCGAGCCUGCGAGGGUAAGCAAAUCUCAAAAAUAACGUCUCAGUUCGGAUUGUAGUCUGCAACUCGACUACAUGAAGCUGGAAUCGCUAGUAAUCGCGAAUCAGCAUGUCGCGGUGAAUACGUUCCCGGGUCUUGUACACACCGCCCGUCA